RNAcentral lists this ribosomal RNA (449 nucleotides) under uncultured bacterium. RNAcentral describes it as "bacterial SSU rRNA". It matches the Rfam family "Bacterial small subunit ribosomal RNA", at positions 355 to 796 of the family's 1533-position model. The record is from RNAcentral.
UGGGGAAUUUUGGACAAUGGGGGCAACCCUGAUCCAGCAAUGCCGCGUGUGUGAAGAAGGCCUUCGGGUUGUAAAGCACUUUUUUUCAGGAAGAAAAGGUCUAUGUUAAUAGCAUAGGUUGCUGACGGUACUGGAAGAAUAAGCACCGGCUAACUACGUGCCAGCAGCCGCGGUAAUACGUAGGGUGCGAGCGUUAAUCGGAAUUAUUGGGCGUAAAGGGUGCGCAGGCGGUUUUGUAAGACGGAUGUGAAAUCCCUGGGCUUAACCUAGGAACUGCAUUUGUGACUGCAAGGCUAGAGUAUGGCAGAGGGAGGUGGAAUUCCACGUGUAGCAGUGAAAUGCGUAGAGAUGUGGAGGAACACCGAUGGCGAAGGCAGCCUUCUGGGCCGAUACUGACGCUCAUGCACGAAAGCGUGGGGAGCAAACAGGAUUAGAUACCCCGGUAGUCC